ACGGAGGAUCCAAGCGUUAUCCGGAAUUACUGGGCGUAAAGAGUUGCGUAGGUGGCAUAGUAAGUAGAUAGUGAAAGCGUGUGGCUCAACCAUACUCACAUUAUCUAAACUGCUAAGCUAGAAGAUGAGAGAGGUAGAUGGAAUUUCUUGUGUAGGAGUGAAAUCCGUAGAUAUAAGAAGGAACACCGAUGGCGUAGGCAGUCUACUGGCUCAUUCUUGACACUAAGGCACGAAAGCGUGGGGAGCAAACGGGA
Molecule: ribosomal RNA, 254 nt
Filed under: uncultured prokaryote
Description: partial 16S ribosomal RNA
Rfam family: Bacterial small subunit ribosomal RNA
Source: RNAcentral